UACGUAGGGGGCAAGCGUUGUCCGGAUUUAUUGGGCGUAAAGAGCGUGUAGGCGGUUUGGUAGGUCCGUUGUGAAAACUCGAGGCUCAACCUCGAGACGCCGAUGGAAACCAUCAGACUAGAGUCCGGAAGAGGAGAGUGGAAUUCCUGGUGUAGCGGUGAAAUGCGCAGAUAUCAGGAGGAACACCGAUGGCGAAGGCAGAUCUCUGGGCCGAUAACUGACGCUGAGGAGCGAAAGCAUGGGAGCGAACAGG
RNAcentral lists this ribosomal RNA (253 nucleotides) under uncultured bacterium. Its description in RNAcentral is "partial 16S ribosomal RNA". It matches the Rfam family "Bacterial small subunit ribosomal RNA", at positions 524 to 776 of the family's 1533-position model. The record is from RNAcentral.